Molecule: long non-coding RNA, 1473 nt
Organism: Capsicum annuum
Lineage: Eukaryota; Viridiplantae; Streptophyta; Magnoliopsida; Solanales; Solanaceae
Exons: 3
Source: RefSeq, a predicted model, not a curated record
UUUGAAAAAUAAGUGGAUGGCAUUUAGGCCACUAAACUGUACCACUUUCCUUUUCCUGAAAGAUUUCAAUUCCAAUAUUUGAUUUCUUUUUGUCAUAUAGCCAAUUAUCAAAUCGGAUAGUUCUUCUUAUUCUGCUCAAAGGUUAUGCUGGAGUUGGUGUUCUGCCAGCAGCUUUAAAUAUAUUCUUGUGGAUGCGUUGGGAGGGGUUAAAUGGUAGGAAAUAUUUUGGCAAUUUAUUUGAUCUCCAAAUAGAAGUUAAUUAUCUAAAUCAAGAUUAAUUCAAGCUCAAGUUCUAGCGGGGUACUAUUUGGAGGCUUCACAAGAAGAUAUUAUAGCUUUGGCGUCCAGAUCCGGCCCUAGCAGUCGACAUUGAUGUGAUUCUUGCCUUUCAGUACUGAUUCAGAGCAUGGUGAUCUUGCUGUCAUCCGAGGCUGUUUUUUCUCUAUCUACUCCAACUGACUGACCUGGUCUUUCUUCUGAGCGUGAUAUGUGCGCCCAAUAUCUCUACCUGUGUGGCCCUUCAGCUAUUUUUCUUAUCUUUUACUUUCGCGGACGAAAGUCCUUUUAGUAGUGGAUAUUGUAAUGACCCUUUCGGUCAUUUUCCUAUAUUUUCGUAUAAUUUUAUACUAUAAUAAGUGACUUUUAUGAUUUAUUAAUAUUUUAAGUGGAGGUAGUAAAUUUUGAAAUGUUAAAAUAUUAUUACUAUAUAACAGAGGUUUUGUUAGAAAUAUUUUUAUAUUAAUUUUGAUAUAUUUAAAUUAUUGUAAUUAUUUACCACGAAUUUAUGCAAUACCCGAUUAUGUACACUUGCGUAGAAAAUUAUUUGAUGUGGACGCCAUUACCACACGUUGAAAUUGGAAUGGUGGACCACAAGGUUGCUUCCAUUUGUUUUCCACUUUAGGCUAACUUUGCUUAUAUAUAUAUAUUUAGUAGCUUUAACUUUUUUUAAAAAUAAGUGAAUGGCAUUUAGGCCACUAAACUGUACCACUUUCCUUUUCCUGAAAGAUUUCAAUUCCAAUAUUUGAUUUCUUUUUGUCAUAUAGCCAAUUAUCAAAUCGGAUAGUUCUUCCUAUUCUGCUCAAAGGUUACGCUGGAGUUGGUGUUCUGCCAACAGCUUUAAUUAUAUUCUUGUGGAUGCGUUGAGAGGGGUUAAAUGGUAGCAAAUAUUUUGGCAAUUUAUUUGAUCUCCAAAUAGAAGUCAAUUAUCUAAAUCAAGAUUAAUUCAAGAUCGAGUUCUAGCGGGGUACUAUUUGGAGGCUUCACGAGAAGAUAUUAUAGCUUUGGCGUCUAGGUAGGCAAGGUUUACCCUAUCUUUAGAUUGAGCUUAUUUAUAGAAAAUGUUAACUAUUAUGUUAGUUUUGGAUAAAUCCUUGUAGAUGCGUAUUUUUUUGAUAUAUAUGAACUGUCUUAUUUAUCCGGAUUAGGACCCUGUUUUAAUAAAUAUUGAAAUAUUAUGUUUUAACAUAAUAUAAC